Non-coding RNA from Arachis ipaensis, 1715 nucleotides. Lineage: Eukaryota; Viridiplantae; Streptophyta; Magnoliopsida; Fabales; Fabaceae. The record is from RefSeq and is a predicted model, not a curated record.
AAUGCCUCAAAGUUCUCUAUAUCCCUCCCAAACGUAGCAACAAUGAAAUGAGCAGAGAAAGAGGGCGAUGUGGAGUCAAAGAGGCGAGAUAAACCAUAACGGGGUCGAGGAGGGCUCGACGGGAAGGGAGUUCUCCUUCUGAGGCAGUGAGUGUGACUUCUGGCUGGUGUGUUCUCUUUCUCUAUAUGGCCUACUUCCUCUUAGAGUUUUUUUUAUUUUGUUUCAGGUAUUAUCCGCGAAGUCGUUUUGUCCCAAAACGACAAUUUCAAGAACCACUACUUCAUAUUGAGUGAUGAUGCCGUGAAACCCGUACCCUACGCUCGCGGGCGCCCCAGCGGAGAAGGUAGCAGCAGUUCUGGUUCCUCUCACCGCAAGCGCACCAAAUUUCUUCAUCAUUUCAAUGACAUGGGGAAGAUGGAUUUGAUUCUAGCUAUGAGGGAGAGGGCAAAGGUGAAUGCGAUGAAUCUGACGUAGCAAAAGUAGAUCAAAGGAUUAAAAUGGAUCUCACGGAGGAUUUAUUGCAUAUGGUUUUCUCAUUUUUGGAUACUCCCAAUCUAUGCAAAGCUACCAGGGUUUGUACAUAGUAGAGCCCCUGAUAAGCAUAAUCACGGGUGCUCCAUUUAGAUUUCUAGCUGUUUCUGAAAAUCACAAUUCUAGAUACAUCUACACGGUAUCUUUGCCAACUGAUUGAGAUUCUUUUUUUUUUAUUUGGAGGUGAAUGAUGGGUUGGAAUGAACUACAAAUUACUAAGAGUUUUAGAUUUAGAAUGUAAUGAAUGUGUUGAUUUUGGAAUGUGAUUUCUCAUUGGUAGUUAUUAUUUGUGUCUUUGCAGUGGGAGAAGUGUGAGGCUCUGUAAGUUAAGUGUUUUUGGAAUCUGUUAUUGUUGUUUGUACUUUCGUUUCUGAGCAUGAUGUUCAUAUGGUUUGUUUUAAUGUUUGUUGUUGGCCGCAGAUGGUGAGGAGUGACAGAUUUAAGAUCAGGUAACGUUGCAAAAACAGUAUCUACAUAGGACUAUGAAAAAAGAUCUCAGAAAAAUCUUCAUUGAGAUGAUUGAAAGGUGUUGACAAUGGCCCAAUAUAAGUUUAUCUCACUGAUAUCAAAUGGCACUCCCUAGGUGUUUAAUAGAAAGUUGCAGGUGCAAAUAUCUUUCACUAGAUAUCUGAGGUCACCAAAUAUCAGGAAGGUGAUGAUUUCGAGAAUUUGUAUGAUCAAAUCGUUGAAAGUAAAGAGAAGUAUGUUAUUGGACUUUGAGAAGGCUAUAUUGAGGAUGAACAAAAGGAAAAAAGCUCUGUUGAAGAAGUUGAGAAGGUGCUUGAAGAUUGAGUUUGUUGAAUUCGUUGAGGAUGAUACUACAUCUAUACAAGGGGUUAAGUGACAUGGGUCUUCAUGUCAUUUACCUACCUAAAGCUACUGAUUAGGACUUAUAUAGGGCAAUAGAUAUGGGUUGUACAAUUAGUGUGCACUUUUUUUGUAACAAUAUAAAGUCUCCUGGUUGUGUCCAUGUAAUAGGAGUUGAUAUUUGAAUUUUGGGGUGUACCUUUUGGUUGGUCUUAUUGCUUAUGUAAUGCAUCAAUUGCUUAGAUGUUUGCAUCAAUUACUAGGAUGUGGACAUUAGAUCAUUAGCCUAUAGGCAAAGUUAAGUACGUAGUUCUUUAUGUUUGUAGACUGUGUUUGUGAAAUUCAAUAAAAUGCGUAGCUCUCAUUGCUUUAUGUUA